This 490-nucleotide ribosomal RNA is filed under the name uncultured bacterium. RNAcentral describes it as "partial 16S ribosomal RNA". It matches the Rfam family "Bacterial small subunit ribosomal RNA", at positions 30 to 507 of the family's 1533-position model. The record is from RNAcentral.
AUUGAACGCUGGCGGCAGGCCUAACACAUGCAAGUCGAACGGCAACAGGAAGAAGCUUGCUUCUUUGCUGACGAGUGGCGGACGGGUGAGUAAUGUCUGGGAAACUGCCUGAUGGAGGGGGAUAACUACUGGAAACGGUAGCUCAUACCGCAUAACGUCGCAAGACCAAAGAGGGGGACAUUCGGGCCUCUUGCCAUCGGAUGUGCGCAGAUGGGAUUAGCUAGUUGGCGGGGUAACGGCCCACCAAGGGGACGAGCCGCAGCUGGUCUGAGAGGAUGACAAGCCACAAUGGAACUGAGACACGGUCCAGACUCCUACGGGAGGCAGCAGUGGGGAAUAUUGGACAAUGGGCGCAAGCCUGAUCCAGCCAUACCGCGUGGGUGAAGAAGGCCUUCGGGUUGUAAAGCCCUUUUGUUGGGAAAGAAAAGCAGCAGGUUAAUACCCCGCUGUUCUGACGGGACCCAAAGAAUAAGCACCGGCUAACUUCGUG